UAGUCGGAGGUGUGUCUCGGACGGUCGGUUCGCCGCUUGCCGGUGCUCAACUGGCCGGUCCGGACGUCCUGCCGGUGGAGCCGCGAGGCUCCGUUAUCCUUCUUUGGUCCUCUUCACCGAGUGCCUUGGUGGGCCGGCACGUUUACUUUGAACAAAUUAGAGUGCUCAAAGCAGGCCGUUGGUCGCCUGAAUACUGUGUGCAUGGAAUAAUGGAAUAGGACCUCGGUUCCAUUUUGUUGGUUUUCAGAACUCGAGGUAAUGAUUAAUAGGGACGGACGGGGGCAUUCGUAUUGCGACGUUAGAGGUGAAAUUCUUGGAUCGUCGCAAGACGAACCGAUGCGAAAGCAUUUGCCAAGAACGUUUUCGUUGAUCAAGAACGAAAGUUAGAGGUUCGAAGGCGAUCAGAUACCGCCCUAGUUCUAACCAUAAACGAUGCCAGCUAGCCAUCCGCCGAAGUUCCUUCUAUGACUCGGCGGGCAGCUUCCGGGAAACCAAAGCUCUUGGGUUCCGGGGGAAGUAU
This 520-nucleotide ribosomal RNA is filed under the name Anisopleura sp. KMK-2015. Its description in RNAcentral is "SSU rRNA". It matches the Rfam family "Eukaryotic small subunit ribosomal RNA", at positions 631 to 1126 of the family's 1831-position model. The record is from RNAcentral. Lineage: Eukaryota; Metazoa; Arthropoda; Insecta; Odonata; Euphaeidae.